CUGGCAGCCACCUGCCUCUCCUCUUGGGCUCCCGGUUGGAGCAGCAUCCCUGCGGAGCGCUCUGGGCUCCGUUAUCCCUCCGUGGGGCGGGGUGCCCCGGGCCGAGGGGACGGCACAGGAAAGGAGGCCCCUUGGGAGGCAGCUCGCUGCUUCCUCACUCUGGCUUGUGAUCCAGGCCAGCGUUCCCAGCUCCCGGAGUCACACCCUCUCCCAGCUGUUGCUCGCCGAGCAUCGCGCUGCCAAGAAAACCUUUGGUGAUGGAUGAAACUCCCUCCCCGCUCCCUUAAAACCGGCGGCGAGCGGCACCGUGCCUGUGCCUGGUCCCGGCGCGCCGGGAUCCGCCUGGGAAUGGGAUCCCGCUGGAAUCUCGGGCACCCCGAGCUCGUCCUGCCCAACACGGAGCAGCGGGAGAGCGUUGGCACCACGAGAGCUCGUGCCUUAGGCCGGUGUGGAGGGAGCUGCCGUUGUGCCCUGGGACACUGAACUGUCACCUGUCCCCCAUCUCAACGGAGAGGAGAGAGGGAAGAAUCACCGGCUGCAGAUCCCAGCCGCCGGGAUCAUAG
This 563-nucleotide long non-coding RNA is filed under the name Corvus moneduloides (New Caledonian crow). RNAcentral's name for it is "lncRNA (ENSCMUG00000019648.1)". Lineage: Eukaryota; Metazoa; Chordata; Aves; Passeriformes; Corvidae. The record is from RNAcentral.